Molecule: ribosomal RNA, 253 nt
Filed under: uncultured bacterium
Lineage: Bacteria
Description: partial 16S ribosomal RNA
Rfam family: Bacterial small subunit ribosomal RNA
Source: RNAcentral
UACGAAGGGUGCAAGCGUUACUCGGAAUUACUGGGCGUAAAGCGUGCGUAGGUGGUUUGUUAAGUCUGCUGUGAAAGCCCCGGGCUCAACCUGGGAAUGGCAGUGGAUACUGGCAAGCUAGAGUGCGGUAGGGGGUAGUGGAAUUCCCGGUGUAGCGGUGAAAUGCGUAGAGAUCGGGAGGAACACCAAUGGCGAAGGCAGCUCGCUGGGACGGUACUGACGCUGAGACGCGAAAGCGUGGGGAGCAAACAGG